Molecule: microRNA precursor, 99 nt
Filed under: Pelobates cultripes (western spadefoot toad)
Lineage: Eukaryota; Metazoa; Chordata; Amphibia; Anura; Pelobatidae
Source: RNAcentral
CGGCAGAUAAGAACCAUUCGGCCCAUCUAGUCUGCCCAAUUUUCUAAAUACUUUCAGAAAAUUGGGCAGACUAGAUGGGCCGAAUGGUUCUUAUCUGCC